UAAAUUCAAAAAGUGUUUGAGUCUGACACGUGUAGACGUUGUGCCUUGUGGACCACAACUAAAAAGUUACUUGUGGUUCGAGCCUGUGUGUAAAGUGUUUACAGUCAUGUAGAGUGCGUCAAGGCAGAACGUUUGUAGUUGAGACACGAGAAGAUAACAACAAAAGGCCCUCUAAUGGACUCUUGAUAACAAUGAUAGUUUACAUGUCAAACAGAAUCGCUUUUCCAAGCUAUGAUGCAGUGCUGACGAGUGGGUCAGACUGUGUGACAGGUGGAAAAGUCAGAAGGCUGCAGCUCGUCUUCAUUCCUUGACCAUGAGCUGACCUGGUAGUGGCAACAGUCAGUUGGGAAGUGUUGGACUCGGUUCAAGGGUCGUUUCCCUCCCAAUAGUGCCAGAGAACUGAAGUGGACUUUUGGCACGGCAGUGUCCUGACACUCACGACUUGAGGCUUAUGGGCCAACAAGUCAUUUAGCAGUUGCUGAAGAAAGGAACCGGGACUGAACCCAGCCGUCUUCUUGUUCAUUCAGGCCCACGUGUCAUUUUUACCUUCACUGAAGAAAGGAGAUGACACAGGCAUCAGCUUCUUGUUUGCCUGUGUAAAGGUGCCAGCAGAAGUAUUCAAGAUGGAUUGUUAGUGCCAACCGCCACACCUCAAAUUGCACUGCUCUUCACUCAAGCCUUUUGAUUUGUGUUCGACGUUUUGGUCUCUGGCCGUCGUCCAGUAUGAUGGAGAGACGAGGACGCUGGGCGAAGCAUGGCGAAUUUUGAGUUCGCACUCCAAUUAGAGUCGAACUCGGUGAUGAAAUUCGCCUUGUGGCCAAGCCAUGUUGUUUGGCUGUUGCAACAAGAAUCCAGCACAGACAUUCAAUCUUUAAGGUCGAGCGCCAUUGCUGGUGUCUCAGCUGGAGCAUGUGCGACUUACUGCAUCUGCGAAACAAUCACGCUUUUGAAGAAUUUUCAGAUCUGACGAGGUCGUUGAUGUGAUGAUUUGACCAUGUCGAUAUCCAGCCAUUUAGAAUUCUCCAGGAGGUUGCAAACUAUCCAGGACACUAUCCAGGACAGUAUCCAGGAGUGGUGAUCACUUCAGAAUGCUGGCUAAUACUUGUCACUCCAAACGGACACCUCCCGACGUUCGAUUUCAGGCAAUUUACACCCUUUCCUCUUGUGGUGCAAGAUAAACCCACCGAGGAGUUCUUGUGCUCCCUAACACACAUGGUGAAAAUCGAGUGGAAAUCACAGCAUGCAAUACCCGUUCCGGCUGCGCCGCUGCUAUCAAUGAAAGGUGAUGUGGUGCUCCAUGAUCCACUCACCUGGUUCACAGGUCUGGUUAUUGCAGACUCCAAUCGCUCUGUUCAGUCCCUGGCAGCCACCGGCGCUGUUCGAUAUACACGUACGCUCACGCCACUGCUGGCCUCCACCACAGCUGGCCGUGCAAGACGACCACACACUCCAGAAGCCCCAGCCACGCUCUAAUUGAGGGUGGGAGAAAGCUGGAACGUAGUGGACGUGGCUGGCAAUGCUGAGUAACUAGCAGCUUGGUAGUAAUGUGUAGCAGCGGGAGAACUAGCCAUGCUUGCCAGUGAUAGCUGGGAAGAUGUAGCUACGGCUGAGCCAACUGCUAGAGUGUACAGCUCUACCUGAGACGACUUCAAACUGGUGGCAAGCGUCACGCUACUCGAGUCCACGGUGACCCCAUCACCUGUGGCAAACAGCAUGCACGGAUGCGUAUCGGCUGUAGGCGUCGUGACAAGCCUGUUCUCUGCCCACUGCAGUGCCACACUGCUAUCAGCUGCAGAGCUUGCAGGCGGUGUGUAGGCUAUGGAUUCAAUGGCUGCAAGCAAGCUGGCCAGUGUGGUGUCGCUCAGCUGCGCAGAGUCGAAUAUCACCUGAGCGACAUCACUAUAGAGAAUGAUUGAAACACGCGAUCCUCCCGUGCUGGCUGAUGGCUGCAGUGACCUGAUCAUUUGCAUGCAGAACCACUUGAACUGCUGGAAGUCGUACGCCGUCAUGCUGUGUUGAGACGGAAAGCAGAUGACCAGGUCCAACGGCUGUACGUUAGUGUGCACAGCUACGGGAAACACACACAAGCACACGUGCACACGCGUACACAACAGACAUAAUGUGUUUACAGCGCCAAGCAAAUGACUGCCUUGCGCAGUUUCUCCGUACCACCGGUUAUUCGGCGUACCCUGUGAGAGUAAUGUGCACGUAUUGAAGUCGGAUAGUUCUGACCUAUCGUAGCCUGCAUCUACCAAUGCUGUGCUGCUGCCGUGCAUGUAUUCAAGUCCAGUUCUGUUAUGUCACUGUAUUAACUGUUGUUUUUCAUGGCCACAAGGCUUGUUCUUUUGACCCACCAUACACGUACCCACAACUUGCAUCUCUAUAACACACACACACACACACACACACACACACACACACACACACACACACACACACACACACACAUCACUGUAUCUGCCAUCGUUGCAUCGAGCACACAAAGUCACUUACCUGG
Sycon ciliatum is the source of this 2497-nucleotide long non-coding RNA. RefSeq lists it as uncharacterized. The transcript is spliced from 11 exons. The record is from RefSeq and is a predicted model, not a curated record. Lineage: Eukaryota; Metazoa; Porifera; Calcarea; Leucosolenida; Sycettidae.